AAGGGCUAUGAACCUUUCUGGCAUAUCUCAGUGGCGCCACCUAGCGGAUUUUUUAAAACUGCGGCGCACGAUGAAACCUGUGCAAAUCGAUAGGGGACACUUGUCUGAACAAAAAAGCUUUAAUGGACCUAUGCUCUAAAGUGUCACGUUUUCAAGAUAUCUAGCUUGAAAGUUACGAAAAGUGUCGUAUGGAUAAAUCGAUUUUACUAUUUAUCUAUAUACAAUCGUAAUAUAGUGACAAAGUGAUUGAUUAUACAUGAAACAUUAUUUAAUAUACAACAUAUUUAUCUUAUUGAAAAAAUGAAAUUAAUAAAUACUUGCAACAACAUUAAUGGUUUUUGUCUUUGCUACAUUAUAUAGGAAGUACAUAGGUACUUAACUGUGCACACCUUAUCUAAGGUUACUAAUUGCAAACUGAGUUUAUCAGUUUGUGUUAUGUAUGAUAUAGGCGUCAUUUACUCCUUAACUUGAUUUUACUUGACACAACGAUAGGAUCUAAUGAAAUAUAAAAUAAAGUUUACAUUUUUAUAAACGCAAUGCGUUUAGUGCGGCAUCAUUAGUACUCGUUAAAAAGCAGAAUUCUCGAAGUUUAAGAAAUCUGUGUAAGAGAAACAAAAUGGUGUACUUAUUAACUGCCAUUUUGCUUUCUCGUUUAAUUCCAGGAACUACGAAAAUGGAGGUCCUUUGUUUAAAGUUGCACGAAUUUCUAUUAUUUCGGCGGAAUCAACAAGGAUAGCGAAUAGCCAUACAAUAAGUCUAACUACGCAAUACCGAAUAUGCCACAUUUAAAAGAGGAAGUGAGGAUUGCUUGCGCCCUAAUAAAUGCCUUCGGAAAACGGGUGACAGAUCACCCACUCGUAAAUGAAAUAAGCAACGAUAUAUACCUUAAGCACGACGCCCCAAACUAUCUGUGCGAGUUUGUAAUACAAAACAAUUUAAAUCAACGCAGAGCCGCUUUACAAGCUAUGAACUCAAGUGAAGGCUUUCAACAGUUUCCCAUCUUAUCAUAUGAGGAUCUGUUGAUAAUGUCUCUGGGGCCGUAUCAAGUGACGCAGGCAAGAAGCUACUAUGGCGAACACCUAAAAGAAAACGGAACGUUUUUCAUUGAAGUGUAUGAAGAUUUUGAAGUUGACUAUAAUUUAAAUCAAUACAACUUAGUAGUUUGUGAUCCUUGGCUGACAAGAGCUAAAAUACUCUCGAGGCACCAGAGCAACAGAAUUUAUUUUGUAUAUAUCUUGCUAAAUAAUAGUUUGAAAAACAGAAAUAAACUUGUCGGUCACUAUUGCAGCUGUAUAGUUGGAAAACGGACACUCGGGUGCUAUGCUCAUGUCAUGUGCAUAGUUUGGUAUAUGGGAUGGGCUCGGCACCAAGAAAUUCAACCCCCUGCUGCCUUUUUAGAUCAAGUUAUUAUUUCUGAUGAAGAAGAAGAUUGAUUAUUCAAGAAGACUGAUAUUCAUUAUCCUAAUAGGUACGAAUUUGUAUAAAAAAAGCCUAUUUGUUAUAAGUAUAUACACUGUAUGUAUUCAAUAACAAUUAGUAUUGAUUUCAUUUUAAGCAAAAUAUAAAUAACUAUAUGACUACU
This 1582-nucleotide long non-coding RNA is filed under the name Pectinophora gossypiella (pink bollworm). Its description in RNAcentral is "uncharacterized LOC126372597". The record is from RNAcentral. Lineage: Eukaryota; Metazoa; Arthropoda; Insecta; Lepidoptera; Gelechiidae.